This is a non-coding RNA of Cinara cedri, 404 nucleotides long. NCBI's taxonomy places the organism in Eukaryota, Metazoa, Arthropoda, Insecta, Hemiptera, Aphididae. The record is from the annotation of a GenBank genome assembly.
ACCAUGGGUAGGCCGCUAUUGUAGGUGGGCAUUUUAGAAUGUAUUAGUCGAUAAUUUAACGAGCUGAAAAUUGUUAAACUAUCGAAAAAUUAAACCAAUAUAGAACAUUUUAAUUUUUGUUAAUUUUAGAUUCCGAGCUUAGCGAAGGAGCUAUUGGUUUUACCAAGAUGUUUAUUUUUUUUUCUUUCUUUUUUUUUCUAGACUGUGGACACGUUUUUUCCUGGUAAACUUGCUUUGAUUUUUACGUUUAACAAUUUUUCUGAAAACUCAAGUUGUCUAAAUUUUUAAACAAGUAAUUUUUUGAUUUUCGACGCCGUCUUUCAAAUAAAAACACUUAAGUGGAAAAAACAAGGAAACGUAAAAUUUCACGAUUUCAUUAUUUUAUAAAAACAUGGAUAACGUUU